This 505-nucleotide ribosomal RNA is filed under the name Acanthochitona rubrolineata. RNAcentral describes it as "partial 16S ribosomal RNA". It matches the Rfam family "Bacterial large subunit ribosomal RNA", at positions 1817 to 2597 of the family's 2925-position model. Lineage: Eukaryota; Metazoa; Mollusca; Polyplacophora; Chitonida; Acanthochitonidae. The record is from RNAcentral.
CGCUCUUUGAAACACAAAAAUAAAGAGUCGUGCCUGCCCAGUGAUAACUUUAAACGGCCGCAGUACCCUGACUGUGCUAAGGUAGCAUAAUCACUUGCUCUUUAAUUGAGAGCUAGAAUGAAUGGCUUGACGAAAACAUUACUGUCUCUUUUAUAUUAACUAAAAAUUAAUCUUUAGAUGAAAAAGUCUAAAUAACUUCAAAAGACGAAAAGACCCUAUCGAGCUUAAAAACAAUUUUAAUUCUAACCUACUAGAUAAAACAAAAUUAAAACAUAAUUUUUUGUUGGGGCGACAGAAGAACAUACAAAGCUUCUUUUAAUUUAAUAAACUAAUAAGUUUAAAAGAUCCAUUAAUAUUGACUAAAAGAAAAGUUACCGUAGGGAUAACAGCGUAAUUUCUUUAGAGAGCUCAAAUUGAAAAAGAAGUUUGCGACCUCGAUGUUGGAUUAAAAAAUCUUUUUGAUGCAGCAGUCAAAAAAGAAGGCCUGUUCGACCUUUAAAAUUUU